RNAcentral lists this ribosomal RNA (428 nucleotides) under uncultured bacterium. RNAcentral's name for it is "bacterial SSU rRNA". It matches the Rfam family "Bacterial small subunit ribosomal RNA", at positions 354 to 796 of the family's 1533-position model. The record is from RNAcentral.
GUAAGGGAUAUUGCGACAAUGGGCGAAAGCCUGACGCAGCAACGCCGCGUGUGGGAUGACGGCCUUCGGGUUGUAAACCACUUUUCUGGGGGAAGAGGAAGGACGGUACCCCAGGAAUAAGUCUCGGCUAACUACGUGCCAGCAGCCGCGGUAAAACGUAGGAGGCGAACGUUAUCCGGAUUUACUGGGUGUAAAGCGCGUGCAGGCGGUGGUGUAAGUCGUGUGUGAAAGCGCUCAGGCUCAACCGGGCGAGGACGGACGAAACUGCAUCACUAGAGGUAGGUAGAGGCGUGCGGAAUUCCGGGUGUAGUGGUGAAAUGCGUAGAUAUCCGGAGGAACACCAGUGGCGAAGGCGGCGCGCUGGACCUAACCUGACGCUAAGACGCGAAAGCAUGGGUAGCGAACGGGAUUAGAAACCCUAGUAGUCC